Long non-coding RNA from Betta splendens (Siamese fighting fish), 27234 nucleotides. RefSeq lists it as uncharacterized. Lineage: Eukaryota; Metazoa; Chordata; Actinopteri; Anabantiformes; Osphronemidae. The transcript has 3 exons. The record is from RefSeq and is a predicted model, not a curated record.
GGAGUGUUCAGUCAUUGACAAGUUGGAGAAGCCAACUGACACACCUGAUCACGGUAAUCAGCAUAGAGAACAAACCAGAAGGGACACUGGCCCUCGAGGACCGGACCUUGACACAUGUGCGUUAGAAGGGGAAUAUCCUAUGUUUUAGAGAGGUCAGUGAAGGCCUCAUCAACGGUUUUUGGUAGUCGUCGGCCAAAGCGGGAUCGAGAUGAAGAAGAUGCGGUCAGUGCGGGAGUUGGGGAGAAGAGAAAGCGGAGACAAAGGGGAAAAAAAGAUUUGACAAGUUGUGAUUAUCGUGGUAUGAAAGUGCUAGCAGCCGUUUGUUGUUUCCUCCAGUCUGGAACAGAUUGGGUGCCGUAAGAGUAAAUUAUCGACGAGGAGCUAGCUUGGCCGCAUCGUGCUAGCUGCUUCGAAAACACGGACUGCACGUGGGGAGAAAGUGUGCGCCAGUCAGUGUGGUGCAGUAUGAAUGUGACCGCAAACGCUUGGUGGACUUCUCAGAACCAGCUAAAUGAGCCUGGUCUAAUGACGGUCGCCGGAACUCUUCGUGCCACGUUUUGGUCCAGCGGAACAAAGGUUUGAAAGCGAGGGUGGACGUCAUUCAGGGUACCAGGAACAGUGAGUAGCCAUAAAAACGCACAACAGGAAACCACAUGAGCUCCAACAUGCGCGCCAACGAUAUGGUACCAUAGACUGCUUUGAACAAAGUUCCAGGUGGUGUUUAUUUGUUCUUUGAAAAUAUAGGAAGGGGAAUAUUUAUAAAAGAGAGUUUAUUUUAUUUGUUUGUCUUUUUUGUGUUCAUCUGUUAUGACCUACUGUGUGAUGUGUAAUAUAGAGAAUUGAACCACUUUUUUUUUCCUUUGAGAGGCACUGGAGUUACAGAUUACAUACAGUAGUAGUGAAGCUACAACAUAACUACCCAGGCCUCUAUGCACCUUAGUCAGAGUCAUACGUAUUAUGUGCUAUUGGUUAUUAUUUUUCUUUAUUGGUUAUUUACAUUUAGUUGACCCUGCACUCAUUCUGCUCCCGUACACAUGUGUUCAAGGUCUAGAUUUCAAGAUAGACCCCUGAUUUUACACACAUAUAGCCAAGUGAGUGGGGAGGGGGCUACGCGUGGGCUUUCUAUGGGAUCACAGUUUUAUAUUUCUGUGGAUAAAGUGAAGUAAUAAAAUUUGUUCUUAAUUUUUUAAGACAGUGUAAAAAUAUUUUUAACUAUAGGCUUAAAGCUCGCCUAUCUGUGGUUUAAGGGUUUUCUUAACAGCUUGUGUUUUUCUGUUUUUGUAACAUGGAGUCUGAACAAAUUCUUAAGUGGUGUGAAGACAAGUGUAUUGAUCUACAACAAGCAAUUGUACUGAGUGGGGUAUCUAUUGAUGUAACUAAUGAGGUGGUUUACAAAAUAUUGGAUUGAGUUAAAAUAUUUGGUCAUUGCAAAAUAAGGGGGGGGUGUUUAGGACACAGUGCCAAAAGCCAACUGGUUCUAGUUAAGACUUCCAAAGACAUGUAAAAGUUGUUUUGUUGUUUAAGGGUCAGUAAACCCAAUGACACUGCUAAUGACUACCUAAAGGCUUAGGAAACUGCAUUUGGUGCUACAGAUGGAGCAGCAGAUCUCAUGGUGAAGUUUUAUAACACAUUCCAGCAAGAAGGUGAAAAACUGUUUUCAUACCUACUUAGGCUAGAUAAACUGUGGCAUGCAGUCCAUCGCAAAGGUGGAGUUAAAGUGGCACACUUUUAACCCAUUAGCUAUCAAGCCACUUUUUAAUAAUUGACAUACCAAAAAUCUAUAUAUAAUGCUAUUACAACACUAUAAUAUUACAAAUUAGGCAGGAUGGUUGAAUCUGUAGCCAUCCAUCCAGAAACACCGAGCUUUGGGUUGGAUGAUAUCUGUCGGUGAGGAAAGUGAGAGGGAGACAGAAAAAAUGCACAAAGUUACAUGCAGAACAAUGAUGCCAGGUGUGCGGUCAGUAGUGUGGUGGCAUAGGCCUAUAUCGCUUACACAGAUGGAGCUGACGCGGGUGAGGGUCAGAUGAUGCCUCUAUGUGAGGUCAGAAUGAGAGGAAGACCGUGAGGGAGAAAGAAGUACUCGAGAGAAAACACAAGUUAGUUACACAUACAACUAGAAUACAUGAACUUUGAAUUGCAUCUGAAUAUAUGAACUUUGAAUUGCAUUUGAAUUAUACUAUAUUUGUAUAACAAAUGUGCAACUAUACACACACACUGACAGCACUUCUCUUUUAGAGACCCAUCUUGUCAUGCCAGGCAUUGAAGCAAUCUCUCUUUGCAAUCUAAAAAAGCACAGAGAGAGAUUGCAGGUGCAGCAAUACACAGGCGUUUUUACAUGGCAAAGUGCACAUCUACGCCUGAGCUCUGUGCCAUCAGUGCUGUAGUACAUCGGCCUAUGAUACUUAGGCUGGACAGUGUUGUAAUAACUGAUGAGGCCAUCUGAUAUGUCAACUCCCGCCAUGCUCCUGUUGUACUUUUUUAUUGCAGCUGGAAUUGACACAUGUCUUUUGGACCAAAUUCCUGUGGUUCCCUUGACCCUCUAGACAACCGUCUCUCCAUCAAAUGCUUUGUGCAUUGUGGAGCACAUCGUUACCUAACUUGUGUUCCUCCAGCGUACAAAAAGAAGCUGCUUCUCCCUGAGCCACCGGAUUGUUCUUCGUGGAGUGCGUCUUGGCAUACCAUUCAACUGUGUCUUUGGAAAGCCUGUUCUGUUAGGUCUAAUUGUCCCACAAGCGAGGAUCUUCUUUUGAAACGGGUCUCUUGAAAAGUGUAGGACUGGUGUAGAAAUUGUCCACAAACAAUUUCUAACUAGUUCCUAAAACUUUUACGUCCACCAGCUUCAUGACAGAGUCAUAACUCAGCCCCUUGGCGUGCUCCAGCACCGCCUUUCCUUGAUGCACGAAAAAGAUUCAUGUGUAACCACAAUUGGAGUCAGCCAACAAAAACAACUUGUAGCCCCACUUGUUUGGCUUGUUUUUCAUGUAUUGUUUCAAACCACUUCUCGCCUUUGACUUCACCAUACGCUCAUCUACAGAAAUGGCUUGAAACGGAUGCAAAUAGCUUUUACAUGUCUGCACAAUUUGCUCAUAGAGCGGCCGAAUCUUGCACAGGCGGUCAUAAGCUUGUGUUUCUUUUUUGUCUUCGUUUUCAACGUCCACCUUGGGGUCACUGAGAUGCAGCAAGGACAGAGUCUUCCAAAACUUGUCUCUUGACAUAAUGAAGGAAACGGGUUGGAAAGCAUUGUACACCUUCUCCAGUAAUCAUUUAGUAAGGGACACUUGCUAAUGCCCAUUUAAAUGGCUUCUAACCUUGCCGAAAAGAAAAGCUGAAACAAGUUCAAUGGCGAGUAUAAUUCUGUCAUAACUUUGUAGUAAAUGCAUUGCCACGACCCUUCAAAGAUUGAAGCUGUGAAGUCCUGGCCACGGCCUAGUAAUACUACUGCUCUCCAGUCAUUUCUUGGCUUUUGUGGUUACUACAGAGGUUUGUUAAAGAUUACAAUAUACAAUACAAAUUACCCUGCUUUAGAAUCAUUUGGAUCCAGAGGGGAUAAAAACUGAGAGUGCUUUUGAGACCCUAAAGAAAAGCCUUACUGAGGCACCUGUCAUGGCCAUAGGUGACCCAAACAAACCAUACGUCCUGCAGCGAGGAUCUUCUUUUGGAACAGGUCUUUAAAAAGUGUAAAACAGGUGUAGAAAUUGUCCACAAACAAUUUAUAACUAGUUCCCAAAACGUUUACGUCCACCAGCUUCAUGACAGAGUCAUAACUGAGCCCCUUGGCGUGCUCCACCCCCGCCUUUCCUUGAUAAAUUAAAAAAAAGUUACAUGUGUAACCACAACUAGAAUCAGCCCACACAAACAACUUGUAGCCCCACUUGUUUGGCUUGUUUUUCAUGUAUUGUUUCAAACCACUUCUGGCCUUUGACUUCACCAUACGCUCAUCUACAGAAAUGGCUUGAAACGGAUGCAAAUAGCUUUUACAUGUCUGCACAAUUUGCUCAUAGAGCGGCCGAAUCUUGCACACACGGUCAUAAGCUUGUGUUUCUUUUUUGUCUUCGUUUUCAACGUCCACCUUGGGGUCACUGAAAUGCAGCAAGGACAGAAUCUUCCAAAACUUGUCUCUUGACAUAAUGAAGGAAACGGGUUGGAAAGCAUUGUACACCUUCUCCAGUAAUCAUUUAGUACGGGACACUUGCUAAUGCCCAUUUAAAUGGCUUCUAACCUUGCCGAAAAGAAAAGCUGAAACAAGUUCAGUGGCGAGUAUGAUUCUGUCAUAACUUUGUCUAGCAAAUGCAUUGCCACGACCCUUCAAAGAUUGAAGCUGUGAAGUCCUGGCCACGGCCUAGUAAUACUACUGCUCUCCAGUCAUUUCUUGGCUUUUGUGGUUACUACAGAGGUUUGUUAAAGAUUACAAUAUACAAUACAAAUCACCAUGCUUCAUUUGGAUCCAGAUGGGACUCUAAAGAAAAACCUUACUGAGGCUCCUGUCUUGCAGGAGUCCUGGCAAUAGGCGACCCAAACAAACCAUACGUCCUGCACGUUGAUGCAAGCAGGGAAGGGUUAGGAGGGGUCCUCUAUCCGGGCUAAGGAGGUGUCUUGCGCCCAGUUGCUUUUGUAAGCAGAAGUCUCACUGCUUUAGAAAAGAUUUAUCCUGCAAACAAGCUUAAGUUUUUGACUUUAAAGUAGGCUGUCACAAAUAAGCUGCAUGACUACCUCUAUGGGACCAAGUUUAAGGUUCAUACGGAUAACAAUCCUUUUACAUAUGUCCUAACUACAGCUAAGUUGGAUGCUGCCGGACAUCUCUGGCUAGCUGCGCUGUCAGGAUAUGAUUUCAACCUGAAAUGCCCUGGAAAACUAAAUAUUGAUUUCAAUGUUUUGUCCUGCUGCCCUCAGACAAACAGCAACAUGCUUCAGGCAGAGAAGGAUGACAUGUCUGCUGCAACCAUCCAAGCCAUCUGUCAAAUAGCACCUAUCCGUCCACACGGUUGUAAAGAUCCAUUAACCUAAUUUGCACAUCCAAAAAUCCAGUGCCAAAAGCUUUUUGCCACUUGUCUUCCUUGAGUACUCAACAGCUCUCCAAAAGAGACCACACACUCUCAGCAGAAAGCUGAGCCCAUGUAUUAGAGAAGUUUGGUGCACAAUUAUUCAGGGAAAUGUCAGUAAUGCUAACAAAGAAAAACAUCAUGAUAUGACACUCUUUCCCAAAGACUGGAAUAAGCUGAAAGUUAAAGACUCUGUGCUGUACAGAAUUGGUAAACCACCCAACAAGGCAGUGCAAUAGCAGAUGUUGUGCCCAGAGGAGUUUAGGGCCACUGUACUCCAGUCUUUGCAUGACCAGUGUGGCCACCUUGGGUUUGACAAAACCUAAAGUCUAGUUAGAGCUAGGUUUUAUUGGACUUGCAUGAAGAUGCAAGUGGAAAGGUACUGUAAGAACUGUGCCAGGUGUAUUCAGAGGAAGACCCUGCCUAAGAGAGCAGCUGAUCUGUCACAUUAGUGACAGAUCAGCAAGAUCCAUUGGCACAGUAAUGGGCCAAUGGAUCUUGUCUGUAUGGAUUUUCUGACAGUUGAGCCUGAUUCAAGGUACAUCUGUAAUGUGUUAGUAAUUACUGACCACUCCUGUGAACUCCUCCUAAUAGUGGUAUUUUACACCUGUUUCAUUUUAAUUUGGACAUUAACUUUUGCAUUUUCUUUUAAGGGGAUUGUUCUAUGUUUAGAGAGGUCAUUCAAGGCCUCAUUUGUUUUUUGGGGGGACUAAAGAGAGGUUGGGAAGAAGGUGUGGUCAAGCGGGAGCUGGGGAGAAGAGAAAGCAGAGACGAACUGACACAAAGAAUCAACAAGCGGUGAUUAUCAUGAUAUGAAAUUACUAGCAGCUGUCCGAACGGAGCCAUUUGUUAUUUGCUCCAGUUGGGAACAGAUUGGGCGUGGUAAAAGUAAAUUACCGGCGCUUACAGAGGAGCUAGCUUGGCUGCAUUGUGCUAGCUGCUGGGAAGAAACUGCACAUAGGGAGAAAUGCUGCAGCAGCUUCAGGGUGGUGCAGUUUGGAUGCCACCCCAAACGCUUAGUGGACUGCUCAGAACCUGCCAGCUAAAGGAGCCUGGUCUUAUGACUGUCGCCGGAUCUCUUCAUUGCAAUGCUUUGGGCCAGGGGAACGAAGGUUUGAAAGUGAGGGUGGACGCACAGCAGGAAACCACAUGAGCUCCAACAUGCGCGCCAACGAUAUGGCACCAUAGACUGUUUUAAAACAAAAUCCCAGGUGGUGUUUAUUUGUUGUUGUUUUUUUUUUCAAAUAUAGGAGCGGAAUUAUUAUGACUUUUUUUUUUUUUUUUUUUAGACUUGGAUUAUUUUACUUUGAUUAUUAUAUUUGUCUCUGUCUUUGUUUGUUCUUCUGUUUUGACCAUAAAAAGAAUUGAACCUUUUUUUUUUUUCUUUGAGAGGCACUGGAGUUACAGAUCACAUACAGUAGUAGUGAAGCUACAAUACUACCCAGGCCUCUAUGCACCAUAGUCAGUCAUACCUGUUAUUUGCUAUUGGUUAUUACUUGGUUAAUUGGUUAUUUACAUUUAGUUGACCCUGCACUCAUUCUGCUCCCGUACACAUGUGUGUAAGGUCUAGAGGUCAAGAUAGACCCCUGACUGUACACACAUAUAGCCAAGUGGAGGGGGCUACAUGUGGGUUUUCUAUGUGGUCACUGUUUUAUAUUUCUGUGAAGGAAUACAUUUUUUUCUUAAUUUCUUUUGUAAAGCAUAUUUAAGACAGAAGUUAGGUGAGCUUUAAGCCCAUAUUUAGCUAUCUGUGGUUUAAGGUUUUUGUUCACAGCUUGUGUUUUUCUGUUUUUGUAACAUGGCGUCUGAACUAAUUCUUAAGUGGCGUGAAGACAAGUAUAUUGAUUUACAACAAGCAAUUGUACUUCGUGGAGUAUCUAUUGAUGUAACUAAUGAGGUGGUUUACAAAAUAUUGGCCCAGGCCUCUGUGCACCUUAGUCAAAGUCAUACCUAUUACAUGCUAUUGGUUAUUACUUUUGUUUAUUGUCUGUUAACAUUUAGUUGACCGUCUACUCAUUCUGCUUUCGUGCACAUGGGGUAUAAGGUCUAGAGGUCAGGAUAGACCCCUGACUGUACACACACGCGCGCGCACACACGUUAUUCCUCCCACAUGGGGUCCACCAGACUAGCAGAUUACGCAUGUUACGUUUGUAGUUGUAAUAAAGGCAUAAUCAUAAUGUACAAUUUUUUUUACACCCCUAAAAUUUUCUUUGAUACUAAAAUCUCUCAAGUUUACAACACUAAAUUUCUGUCACUGAAAACGUGCUUUCAACAGGCCUAUGGUCAUUUCCACCCAGGCUCUUGUUCUGCAGUGUGCCACAUUAAAGCGCUGCUGGGGGCCUGCUUCAGGUUCUGGGUAAGGGGUCAGUAGUGUGGGCUGGCAUGGGUAACCCCUAUCUCCCAGCAGAAAGCCGUCAAUCUCUCCUAGAAGAAAGUUUACAUUACUUUAGUGCUGCAUAGAAGUGUUCCUGUGAGUGUGUAGCUCAUGCAUUGAAAUAAGUUAAUAGGACAUACAUGUACUUACCACAGUGCAGCCUGUUACUUAGGGUUGACUCACGAUAUAUUCGCGAGUCAUGAACAGAGGGGCCACUUGGCCUCCAUGUUCGUGAUAAUAUUUGCAGCAUCACCACAUAUGAUCUUGGUGGUACAAGAAAAGAUACAUGUCAGUUACAGUAUAGUGAUGUAGUCCUUCACCGUAACAAAGACUAGUCAGUGUACCUGCACAUUUAUACUGUGGAUGGACCUCCUGUUCACAUAGUCCCCUUCAUUUUCAGAAGGUGCAUUGAUGGGAAUGUGUGCCAUCAAUGCAUCCAACCACAUUUGGAAAUCCUGAAGGAAAUUCUAUUCUAAUUAUUAGUUUAUUUCCAGAGGUCACAGCAAGAUGUUAUUAACUGAUCACCAUUUUUCACAAUAGCCUAACUGAAACGAAUUAAAUACCACAUACCUGCAAUCCUGUGAAACUCCUCUUUAAUUGCUCUAAGGGGUUUGUGGCCAGGAAACACAACAAAGAUCUGCAGAAAGUGCUUGAGGGCGAGGCACACUUUUCUAAUUACUCUGCAUACAAUGGCUUUACUAAUGUGGUCAGCAUCCCAGACGUUAUAAAGAAAACUACCGUAUGCAAAAAAAGUAACAACACAAAGAAUCUGCUCGGAUGUUUCUAAUUGUAAUAAAGGCAUUAAAAAGGCAUAUUCAUAAUGUAAAUUUUUUUAUACCACAAAAAUUGACUUUGGCACCAAAAUCUCUCUAAUUUACAACACUGACUUUCUGUCAGGUUUUUCCAUCCAGGUGAAGACACCUGGAGGUUUUCUUAUCACCGAUCACCACCAGGUGGCGAUUCUACAAAAUUACCUGUAGGUAAUUUACUUAUACAAAUUUAAAACCAUGAGUAAUACUUUGCAAAACUGUUUUAUUUGGCUCAAAAAAAUAUUAGGUACAGUACCUAUGCAUGUAUGCAUGCUUUCAUGUAGAAAAAGUACUUUGUCACAAUUCACAAAUGUCAACUACUACAAACCCUAAUUUAAACAAUAGAUUUUUUUUCUUGUUGACAUGUCCAAGUCUAUUCAAGAAGUUUGUUUUUCAACAAAUUCCAAAGUAAAACAUUGAUUCAAAAGGAAAGUGUGUUGCAUAUAGAUUUGCGGAACAGCAUACUGUAUGUCUAAAAAUGUGGGGCUCAUUUUAACUACUACACUCAAAAAAAUGAGAUGUUGUAUUUAAUUAAGUUUGUUAUGUCAACCGGUCCCACACAGUGUAGUUGAAUAAAUAGUAAUCAUUAUACCAAAUUAAAUGCCACAAGGUUUUCUUACAUUAAUGCAACUUUAUACCAUUAAUUAAAUGCAACUUUAUACCAUUAAUUAAAUGCUAUCUGUUGUAAUUACAUUCAUUCAACUUAAUACGAUUACGUUCAUGUACCUAAGACAAUUAUGUUCAAUUUAAUGAUGAUCAGAUAGCUGCAUUAAUGUUAUUGAUUGUUAUUAAUUGUACUUAAUUUAUGCUUGUGCUGUUUAAGUUAAAACUCAAAUAAAUACAACCCAAAUCACUUAACCUCAAUUUUAUUAGUGUUUUAAUGAAAGGAGGUCACAUUCAUAAAAUCUAGUGAAUCAUCCCACAAGGUAAAUGUAAAUGAUACAAAUCCAAACCAAGCUUAAAAAUAAUAAAUUAAAUCACAUGAAAUACAAAAAAUAAGUGCAACAGCAAUAAUGAAUAAUUGCUUUUCAAAGUGCGCACUGAAAGCAAAUCUGUAAACCUCUUGAGUAUACAUUUUUGUACAAGGACAUUCAGAUGUUCCAAUAAGACAAUAUUUGUAUAUUGUACGUAGAUACAUACAUACAAACAAUUGUCUUUCACAGCCCAAAAAUAGUAAAACACAUUUAACAAACAAAACAGUGUGGCUUCUGAACAAUGAGCCUUAAUGCUAGAAGUAGUGAAAAAAAAGCCUGAAUAUCUUUCCAGUGCUCUCCAAAAACAAUUUCAAACCAUAAAUUUCAAAAUAACAUUUCCCAGGUCCCAGUUUAGUUCAAGAAACACUGCCAUUUGCAAUAUAUUUUAAUGUUUCAAACCAGUCAUUUUAAAACAGUUGUUGGAUAAUAGAAAUAAAAUAAAAAAUUGUGCCCUAAAUGUGGGUGUUUUUACAGGACAGCUGGGUGAAACAGCACAUUUGAUCCAACAAGACAGAAGUGGGAAAGACUUCAGGAUAUUGUUUGCACAUAAACAUAAAUAUUCAUUCAUAAAGUUUGUUUUUGAAGAUUUGCAUUUUGAGUGACAGCUUGGCACCAUCCAACUCCAUCGGAACUUUCUGAAAAAACUCAAGUGUAUUUCAGGUCUUUGGGGUAGCUCAGGUUUAAACAAUAGAUAAGGCCAAGUAGAAGGGCACAUCCAUGCGCCACAUCCUUUAAAUCUUGCAGCACUUCACAUCCUUCGAUGAUAAUGCCCACAUCUGCAAGUGCGUAAGUGGGCUCUGCUCCCUCAUGUCGAACAGCAUAGACCCCCAAGACCAGUUGUUCAUUCUCUCUUGCUGCUUCCAGAUCAACAUCCUUCAAACAAUGGAAAACCAUCAAUUCAAUAUAUCAAAUUUUGUUUUUAACUGAGUAAUAUUUGUCCCCAUGUUCAGAACUGAAUGCAUGAUUAGAACUACAAGUAAACAAAGAACAGCAAUUCUAAAACUGUAAACAUGACAUAUCAACUAAUCAUCUAAUAAUUAAAAAAAUUAAAAAAAACAACACUUACCAAGUGCUCUUUAACAAGACAUUCGGGUUUCACGUUUAGGUAAGCACAGAUUGAUUUAAGAAUGCAUUCACGUCGUACCUCCACACAGGGAUUCUGUGGAAGACCAAGAAAAUCAAAAGUGUAGGUCCGGAUGACCCAAAAUCUAUUAGGAACGCAGGACAAACUUCUAUAAAAGCACAGGUAAUUAUAAAAGUAAAACAAAGAGAGGGUUAUGUUCAUAGCUGUAGCUGUAUUAUCAAGAUCAUGUAAUAAAGCAUAUUUGAACCGGAUGAGAGAGAAAAUAUUAACAGAAUGAAACAAGCAAAAAAUAACCAAGUAAGACUAAACCCAUGGUCAUCGCCUACAUUACACAAAUAUAUGCACAUACCUUGUUCAUGGCUGCCAUGAUGACACCAAUUUGCCAUCCUACUGCUCCACCCUUCUUUAACACCUUCAUUAAUUAGCUGGAGUAGUGAUCCAGCCGUGACAUUAAGGUUGACAGCAGAGGAACUGUAGUGAUGCGUGUAAAUUCUGCAUUUAUCUGUAGUUGAAUACAGGCAGCACAAGCAACAAUCAACUAAAUUUUAUAUUGUUUAUACAAAAUGUAUCCGCUGAUGUUUGAGAAAAUAGUAGGUUAAUGAAAUGAUAAAUUUAUAAUUACAACAAAAUUAUAACGAAAUAAUCUUACCUCAUUUUCCAUAAACAGUGCUGGCCAUCUGUUUUUAAACUCAGCAAUGAAGGGCAUAUCCUUGAUAAGCUCCUGGCGACUGUGUGCAAAUGUUCUUUCCAUUUUUCUUCUGAUAGCUGCUGAUUGCGUUUUUUCGUUGCCAUCUCCAAGACAACUUCUUGCCUUUCUUUUUCAAGAGUCUCUCUGGUUUCCCCUGAAGGAUAGUCCGGGCAGAAAUUCACUUCAGCUUUUCGUGGCUUCUUUAUUUGGUUUGGACUAUAGCCCAUGGAACUUCGCUUUUUUGCGGAAUUUAUACUCAGUUCUGAGCAGCCAAUAUUUCUAAGCCUAGUUCGGUAGUUGGCCAUUUUGUACUUUAAGCUUAUCUUCCAUCCAUAGAAGCCAGUGACAGAUCCUUGCUCUUUUAAACAGGGAUACUUUUUUACCAAAGCGAGUGCCACAUCAUCCAACUCUGCACCUGAAGGAUAUACUUUAAAUUUAACAAUUUCAGAUGCCAAAGCAUCCAGUAUAUCGGAUUUGAGUUUGGUACUUAGAUUUAGAUGUGUUCCAUUGUUGAAGUUAUUGUUGGCCUUUUGUAACUGAAUGUCUAUCUCAUAGCUGAAUUGAGGUAUUUGAAAGGUUUUGGGCCAAGGCUGUGACCGAAGGGAGGAACCUGAAGAUGUAGAUCCAGACGUAGAAGGAAUGUCAGUAUCUGCUGCUAAGGACAAUGAAGAACUUUCAUAUAUUUCCUGCAAAGUUGAUUAUGAGCUUCCAACUAUCUGUGCCUCCUCUGGCAAGUAAAUUAAAAUAAACUUUAAUUGUGCUCUUGUCCUUGAUUUCAGAUGUUGAGGUCAAGUUCACAAACUCGUCAAAUUCAACAUCUCUGUAUUGCAAUCUGAAAUUUCCCAACAAGCCAAAGUGUGUCCUGAUCUCUUCUUUAAGGCUGUCCAUUGAAUCUGGUAUCCCAGAGGAUAGGCUUAACUUUGAUGCGUCGUCAAGUCCUAGUAUGACCCUAAGAGUUGCAGACAUCUUGUGCUUAAUCUGUGGAACAAAAAAAAAGUUAAAAAAAAAAAAAAGAAAUCGAUAUACUUAUUCUUUAACAAUGUUCAAUUAGGAGAUAACUUGACAUAUGGAUAUAACAAAAUAUAUUGAAUAUAACUAUGUAUUAAUUAAACUACAAAUUUUGCUCUAGUACAUAACUAAAAGACAGACACAAUGAGUCAGUAAUUUCAGCAUGCAGUAUCUCAAGACUUACGGGCCUACGAACAGGCCAACAGGCUUACGACUUCUUUUCUACUGUUCAGUUGCAAUUCAUUAAUUCAGUUUUGCUGAGAAGUUUGAAUCAUGAAACAAUACAUUUAUCAAGUUACCUUUCACAAGUAUAAAUCUUUUUAAAGUCACCAUUUGGAUGGACCCAACUUUGUAGUCCGCCAAAGGAUACAGGUCAGCAAGAUCCAUCAAAUCAGCCACUGACAGCUCUCUUGUUGGAUGCAACUCAAAGGCUCUGUAGUGCUCUCUAUACCAUGAGCACAUUUUUCUAAUGAUAAGACUCAAGUGGUCUUUUACAAUGCACAACUGAAUAAUCUCUGAAAACUCUGCCAGGCCCCCCACAUGAUCCAUGCACAACUAUCAUGCCUAUUUUUUAGUUAAUGCCAUUAACAGUGACACUUUUGGAAAUGUUUACAGAAGUGAUUUCAGGGUACUUAUGUGUAAGCUUAUGCACAAUAUCCUCGUUAAGGAUUUCAAUGGAGACUUUAGAGGUUUGUGUAACCUCCAAGGACAAGUUCUCAAUGUCAGGACGAAGCCUGUUAUAGGCCAUCAUUAACUGAUGUUUUGACGCUAGUGAAAACGCUAUGUUCCUGAAGUUGUUUGUAUGUCUAACAACUUUUUAAAAAAAGUUGUGCUUUGCCUCAAACCUUAUGGUCCACAAUGUUACAAGAGGACCAAAACAUUUAAUCAUUUCUGGAUAGUGCUCCAGGAAAUGAUGUUUAGGAAGCAGCUUUUCAUCUGGAAAGAGCUCCUGGUAUUGCCAUCUAUGCUCUAAGAUUUUGCACUCCAAAUAAGCAAUUGAUUCAAGAUUAUGAACAGGUGCUACUAAUUCUCCAAUAUCCUUAAGAUGCAAAAUCACCUACCAAGCAGGUUCAUCAUCAGGAAUAAGUGGCCCAAGAAUGAAAGGAAGUAAACGAAGUAGACACCAAUUUUUGUGGGCGUUGCCUCCUAUUGUGUGUUUGUUUUUUAAAGUUUUUGGUAAUAAAUGAGGACUAUUAGUUUCGUCUCCCCAUUUUUAAGGAAAUGAGUUAAGAAAAUUGACGUGUUCAAGAGUGAACAACUUCUUGGACAGAAGCACGUCAAUGCACUGAGCAAGUUCUACUGGAACUAUGCCUUCGAAAAGGUCGUGUACAAUGUUUGGAGGAUAGCCACUUACCACACUGAAAUAAGACAGACUAUUACUGUAGUUAAAACACAAGCCGUUUUUACCCCAAAGCAGCUCACGCCUUUAUCCUGAGCUUGGCUUAUGUGAAGCUGAUGAUUUUCCUUUGUCCUGCGCUCAAACACUCCAGAUUUCACUUCCUGCUUCUGAAUUUCAGAAAGCUGAGCUACACAAAAUCGGCAAAAGUAUUUACCCGAGAAACUCUCUACAAAUCCUGCUAACCUGUGAGCUCCCAAAUUAUCGGCUACCACACAGUGUACUGUGCCCUUGAUAAAAGACCCUAACUGUGGAACAAAGAGUCCUGCUCCAAGGUUACUAAAUCAAGCAAGAGAGGCUCAAAUGUUCUUUUAUAACCAAAUGCUUUAACAUAGUCACUUUUGCACAAUAAAGCCAGGUAGAUAGAAGACAGGGUUGAACUGGUACCAGGAAGCAAAUUACCUAAAAUCCAAUACACUGCACAAAGCUUGUGGUUUCUGCGUGAGGUUCCCAAUGGAUUGCAAACUUCAGAAUCAUCUACGUAUAAACACAGAAAUAUGUAAAUCACUGUCUGGGAAAAAAAAGGAUUGUUUUUGUAGUGGUUACCAUCCCGAAAAGACACAUACUGAUCAACAUUUGCAGAAUGGGCUGCGUGAUUUUCUACACCUUUAUCAACAACAUCAUUUCUACUGAACAGCUGUUGUAGAAUCUUUAGUAUAGGAACAUACUGAAAGGUUUUGUUAGACCUUGCCUCUAGUAUAUACACUCAACAGGUUCCACAACGUUAAAAUGUUCCUUAUAAUACUGGUGACGCUUAAAAGAUGAGCCUAGUGGACCAUCUUUAGCUAAAGCUUUAACUAAAGGAUUAUCAGCAGAAAUAGCAUGGCAUAGCUCAGUAAUUACAUGCUGAUCAAUCUGGAUGUCAUGUUUUUUAAAAACAUCAGCAGCGGUAAUGGUUGAUAGAGGCCCUGCAGUGGAGGAAAUGAUAAAAUGUAAAUCUGUCAACAAUUCAUCAACUGCAGAAUUUGGCACAUGUGACAAAACUUCUAAUUUCAAAAGGGAAGAUGCCAAUUUCCGAUUUAUUGUGUCUUGCAGGUUUUCAUUUUCUGUUAAAAACUCAUGCAAAUUGUGACUACCUAAAUCAGAACCAAUGUCUUCAAAGUCAGCUGAUGGCUCUUCACAUAACUGACCCUCAGUACUUCCAUUACUACUUUUUACAACCUCAACUUUAAAGUCUUUCACUGUGCAAUUGGCAUGCUUCCUGUUCUUAUGAGAUUUAAAAGUAGCGUAUGUUUGUUUGAAAAGUACAGUUCUGAAACAUACAACUCACUGUUUCAUACUGCUUCAAGUGGUUGUUAACAUGGGAAAAGUACUCUUUGCUGGAGGAUAAAACACUUCCAGGACACAAAGAACAUGUCAACAUUAUCAGCUCUGGACUUUUUUCAUGUAAACUAUCCACAUGACAUCGGCUUAAAUGACUUUUAAGAGCAUUCCAUGUUUUAAAUGAACAUGGGCAUUCAUAGUGUAUGCAUGGAUAUGAGUGUCUCAGACCAUACUGGCCAUGCUUUACAGUAGUUCGUAGUGCCUUAAUAACUGAUACCUAGUUGAUAAAGUUUCAGAACACUGUUUGCAUCUCCACAUUCAAAUUCUAAAAAAUAGAGACAUAGGCAAUGGUCAGAAUUGGUGAUAACUUCCGGGUUCCAGUAUACCAUCUAUCUAUAACUAUUACAAGUUUUAGAUUAGAAAAGAAUACUUAGAGAGCUCAACUCUCAUGAAAUAGACCAACUUCCCGCUGAAUCUAAAAUCUGUUACUCGGAAGAAUAACCUUGAACACAGAAUAAAAAGAAAGUGUAUUUCAUUUAAAUUUAAAUGGUUACAAUAUAGAAUCGUAAUUCAAGUGCUAUUGAGGUCAUUGAAAUUUUGCAACCCAAGCAAAAGUAACAACUGCAUUUAAAAAUACAUACUUUAAGUAGUUUUUCAUUAAUUAUAAAAACUCAACAAAACCUUAAUUCAUGCUUUUUCACUUUCAUGGUUUUGCAACACCCUUCUGUCGUUAUCGACAUCACCUAGUAAAACUAAUAAUAGAAAAAUAUAUAUGGACCUUAUAAUAUUACACGUGUCUUAUUCUUGCAUCUAAAUUAUAACUCGUGGGUGUUUUUAAAAGACAUGCCUUGUAAAAAGUAAUACACACUAACAGUAUCAUUUUAACUUCAUCAAGUGCAUUAACUUAAAAGUACAAAGAAGAUAUUUUGAAAACGAUGAACCUGACAAUAUUUUACAAAAAAGAUAUUUGUACUUACCAAAUAUUAAGUGGAUGCUAAUAGAUUUCACUGCGGAGCAACAUGCACGUGUCAAAGCGUUCAAAAAUGGUGUCAUCUGCAAUGCGCAUGCGUACCGAAAACUACGGAAAGUGUUUUGGGACAUUUGUUUCUAGGUUCAAUGCUGUUCGUGCGUUUUAAAUGAGUUAGUUAAAUUUGGUUCAAAUUAACAGUACAAUGUACGUUUGACAUCACAAUAUUACGUUGAUUCAACGUAGCUGGUUUGGGUUUGUCACUAAAAUUAACCUUUGUUCCUAGUUUCAACAUAAUACAGUGUAAUGCUAACAACACCUGAAGUUCAUUUUUUUUGAGUGUAUGAACCUAAUAUAACAUGUUAACGUUUGGUUUUACUAUACUGUAUACUCUGUAUAGACUUCUUAUGAACGUAAGAUUUGUAAAGAAUAGGGUGCAGGUAUAAGGUACCCUGUAAUAGUUGUGUGAAAUACCGUCAAUAUUCUAGCAUUGAUAAAAUGGCCACAAAUUAUAUAGCUGCCUUAAAAUGCAUGACUGGAGAAAUUAAAGUACAGAGAGAGAAAAUACAGACAUACAUUGCUAGCAGCAGACCAUCCUCGGUCACGUAAAAAAAGUAAAAAAUAUAAAUUAUGAUAUACAGAGUAACCGCUGCACAAUUAAAAAAAAAAAAAAGAAAGGAAUUCUUGUCUGUGGCAGGCCUAAAUCAGAACAGGCACUAGCACUUCACAAACAGCUUAGUUUAUUAGAAUUAUGAGACAUAAGAAAAGUCCCUUCCACUAAAACAAAAUGAUAUAGAACGCAAACACUGUACAGUACCUGUGUUAUCUUUCUCCCUUAGCAUGAAUGCAGAAAUGUAAAGACCUACCUUCUUUUGAAAGAUUCUCGCUUUAAAGAAUCAAUGCAAUUUUUUACGUAAAAUUUUACUCCCAAGAUCUUCCUCUUAAUGCUGCAGGGGAUUUCUCUAUGCAUUUCAGACAGUCUGUUUUUCCAGGAACUCUGCCAGAGAUGAUGUAGUCCAUCAUAGUCUUCUCGACAGCUUUGACUUCUUCUUCAGCCCACUUUCUUCUUUUAUUUUGGGAUAACCCUGCAUAAAGUAGACAAAGAGUGUCCUCAGUGACACAGUGAGAAUAGCAAUGUACACAAUACAGUGUUUAUCAAAAAAUGGAAUAAUUUGUGUAUACUGUUACAAAAGAAUAUAUAAUUAUCGAGCAACAGUUUGCUCGAAAGAAUCGACUUUGAGACUGCAAAAAGUCAUAUCAUUAAAGCGAAAAAGUGUCUAAACACAAGGGAUAUCACUUGUAUCUUAUGGUGGAUACAAUUUCACAAAUUUAACCAAACCAAUAAAUACUACAAAAAUCACAUCAGAUAAUGAGAUUACGUAGCUGCAGUGCAUCAAUAAAUGACUCCUUUUAACAAUCAGGGCUUAAUCCACACAGGAACAGUGUACCUACUUUACACACAAAUUUAACAAUGUUUCCUGCAAAUUUGGAUUUUACUUGCGAGGCUGAUGGCCAACUGUAAGAUGAAUACUGUGUCAUAUGAAAAUGCAUUGCUACAUAGCAAUAAUAAAAACAUAUAACCUGCAAUCAAAAGGAUUUAUUUGCCACAGUAUGUGAUUGCAUAUAAGAUAUUUUCUGACUUAAAACAUAAGCUGGUCUUGAUUAAAUUUUUGAUGUGAUGGAUUACUAUAUGCCAUCUUCAUCUCUUGUAUUUCACUCUGUACAGUAAUCUAACAUUUGUUUAGUGUGAUACCUUACACUAAAUAGAGCUGUUGUAUUGAAAUACAGCUCCUUCCAACGGGUGAGGACAUUACAGAAUGAUACCUUGAGAUAACUUUGUGAUUUGGCACAAUAUAAAUAAAAUUAAAAUUACUGUACCCUAUAUCUGGAAUGGACAAUUUUGGCUACUUACAGCACUGUUGCUUGUUUCUGCACCAAGCAAAUUGACAAUAACCAUAAUUGCCUGCUCAUUCAAGGCAGUGGGACUCAAUUCUUUCUCUAGCUCAGCUAACAUGCUAUGAAAUUUGACUAGGUUCAGACAUAAGCAUUACAGGACUUGUUUAGGAAUAUUCGCUGGUAUGCAUUACUAUUUUACACACAAAACAAACAAUCCCAGGAUGUUUGCUUCAACCACAGACUCAAAGAAGUGACUUAACUUGCAAAAAUAUAUUGUGGGCAUGGAAUAAUAGGUGAAUGUUGAUAGCGUAAAAAUAUUUUGUAACAAAAUAAAUAGUCAGUGCGUUUACAUGCACUCACUUAACCAAAGGCAAGUAUGCAGAGUUAUCCGGGGGAAAUCUCUCAAGUCCCUGAUUACAAGAACCAUGUUUUUCUACAGUACAUGACAAUAAGUAACCCAGUUACUUGAGCACAAGAGCAAACAUGUCAUAUCCUACCUGUUUCUUGCAUUCAGAAUGGAAGCCAUCGGUCAUAUCAGCAACUGUGAAAAAAUUACACAAAAUUCUUCAUUGUUACAUUUUGUCAUGCUGGUCACCAUAAUCUGACUGAAUUGAUAGAAAUUGACUUCAAAAUCUAUUCAUUAAUUUAGCAAUAGUUUUAGCUAUUUUAUACAUACAUGUAUCAUUAGAAUUGUGAUAGGUGUUACAAAUCAUGGAAGUCAAGGAUUAGAUCAACCCAACAGUCAAUAAAUUUAACAUAAGCCUUGUGUCUCUAACAAUAAAGCCUGGUCAGGUAUACAUAGCUAAAAAGUCUACUAAAUCACAACUACAACACAACCAGUCUUUACAUGAAUAAACAGUCUUUACAUCAAGAAGUGGGUGAAGUACAAAAUAAUUAAAUACAAAUUAGUUAUUAUUCCUCUGCUGUUGAAGUUAAUCCCUGCCAAGCACCCAGUCUUACGGUGGUCUUAAAGUGCAAGUCCCAAAAAAACAAAUAGACGAAACGGGACGACAUUAACAAAAAACACGGCGUUAACAAGAACGACGACAUUUCAACAUUACGGAAAGGGUAGGGACCAGGUCUUGUUUCUGAUUGGUCACAAGCUAAGUCAGUCUAACUUUCAAUUCCAGUUAUUACCUGCAAGCUUAAAACUGCGCUAAUUAAAAUAUCAAGGGCUAUUUAAGGAAGGGUAUUAUCGGAGACAGGUCUUAUAGAAACAUCACUGCCAUUUACAGCUGCGUGGAGACAGAAUAACAUUGUUGGUGCUAAGAUAGAAACCUGAAACAAAACAUUUUUUCCCCGCAAAGUCCUGAUAAGAUUGCUCUUCCCUCAUCUUAUUAGAGUAGACUCCGUCCCACUGAGUCCUUCUUUUAGUUUCGGUUUGGGCGUCCGAAUAUUUAAUGUUAAAAUAUGUUGACAGCAUAUCGAGGCUUGCAUCCAAUGAAAGCCUUUUAUGAAUAGCCCUCAAAUUUAUGAUCUUCUAUUAACAUUCAACUCAAGUUGAAUUACUGCACAGCAAACUCUAGGCUUUGAAAUGGACUCAGUUCAAUUUUACUGUAUCUUACAUGUCCGUGUGAGACCACUGAACAAACUGUAGAGCUGAGUUGCAGUAACGUCUUUCUCUGAGCUGGUCUGAUCUUAAUCUGAGUUGAAUUUCCUCUGCCAUACAGUAAUAUUUAUAACUCAAGUAUCACUCUAAAAGCAUAAUGCCUUAGAUUGAAUUCACAAAAUACAAACAAACACAGCAUCGAUAUUCCUCUAUGUAAUCUUUACUUACAGUAUAACAGCAUAGUAAUGGUUUAAUAUACCAGUUAAAGUAGCUGCUGUUAUGGCAGAUAAACUGGAAAAUGUGUGCUUUAACAUACAUGUCUGGCAUUAACUAAAAAACAAUUUAAUUUAUUUAAUUUCACUGAAAAGUCACUGAAAGUCACUGAAAAGAACAGAGACUCAUUCUAUCCAAUGUCAGUAAAACAAUGUUUAUGCAGUAACAUUACUGGACACCUUUUGUGGUCAUAUUCUAUGAAGUACCAAGUAAAACUGUAAAUGAUCUAAUUUUAGAAAUAGGUUUUACUUUUUUUUUUUAAAGUAUUCAGUUGUAGUAUAAUUCAUUCAGUGGUGCUUUCAAUAUUAAUUAUAAAUGUAAGCCAGUAGCUCUAAUAAAAUUUUGCAUUGUUCACACAUGCAAGUCUUACGGCUCUUCUCGCUUAUUGUAGCUGUGAUAAUCUCAUGAAUCCCACACUGCAGUGACUGCUUAUUAGACCACGGAAAAGCAAACUAUGGACCGCAUUCUUAUCAGGUCGUUGCUUAUCGUACCAUUAGAAUAUUUUCAUACACACUACUUUACCUGCACUUUUGUAUUCUCCUUUUUCUUAGGGUUCUUUUAGCAGAAGAAGAAGGUUUGCCUCUCCUCCGACUUCUUUUUUCGAUGAUGGAGGAAUGUAGUGAGGUUCGGCAUAUUUGAAGUUGUUGGCGAAGCUAUGCAAACAAAUGAAGGUUAAUACUCUGUGUAAACCAUUUCUCCCCGUUCUGUAAUGUUAAAAGAUAGUUUAAGAACAUAAACGACCAUCCGAAAGUGUAAGUCUUAGUUCUUACGGAGUUACGUGUUAGUGUGAUUCACUGUGUUGUGACUACCCACAUGGUAGUCGAAUAUUACUGGACGCAGAUGAUAUUCUGAUGGCGUCACAGACUGAAGAAUGCAUGAAACAUGUCAGGAACGCUCGGGUGAGGACCCAAAUGCACAGCGUACACAGGUUGACGGUGAUCAAAAGGGUGGUUUAUUCCAGGUUUAGGCAGAGACAGCGUCAGGGACAGGCAAGGUUCAUACACGAUCGAUCAGCAAAACCAGGAUACAUGAAAACACGGCCGGACAGGAACAAUGAACUGGGGGAACAACGAUGACACACGAAACAACGAUCUGGCAAGGGACUAUGGGAACAGGUGGUGGUUAAAUACAAAGUGACUUGAUUACUGAUAACGUGCAGGUGUGGGUAAUAAUGACCGGGUGAAGCAGGAACAGCUGUGAUGUAACGUAAACCGGAAGGUGAAGCUAGAACCAAAAACAGAGACCGGGAGAUUACCAAAAUAAAACAGGAACUACGGUGCUAAAACGGGACACAACAAGAAACAAAACCUCAGAUCGUGACAAAACAUACUGUAGCACUUUUUUCAUUUCUGGCCACAAGGUCAGUAAAAACAAACUAGCUGUUGAAGAAAGAAGGUAAAUUUUUAAAACAAAUCAUAUCAGCAAGUGGACAAAAAAAUGAUCCAAAUAAAUGUUCAAAAGUCAGAAAACCUAGACCAGAUUUACAGGACAACCCAAUACCUGGUUCUGUAGUUGUCUUUGUGGAUGGAUCGAGCACAAAAUCUGAAAUUGAGUGACUAUGCAGUUUUGACUGGUGGUGAGACCAUUUUUUUUUUUUUAAGCAGUACAAAUACCAGAAAAAAAAUAGCCAUUUGAUGCACUGAUGCAAACGCACUGCUCAUACUAAUGCUAAAGACAGAGUGUUAAAAGUAAAGGCUAAAGACAGCACACUCCUACAACAAAUGCAAGACAGCACUCCCAAAAGUGAAAAAGAUGAAUGGACUUAAAAGAGCAACUGUUAAUACAAAGUUACUAUGUUUGACAAGAGGGGGAACCUUUCCUACCAGAAAUCCUCUACAAAUAAGCAACAGUAUUGAGCCAUGGGCCUUGCCAUGUCUCCUUGGGGGGGGGGGUGGUACAGAUAAUGAACAAGUACUAUACUACUUAUGGAUUUACAAGUUAUUCUAAAAAUCUUGUUCCCAAUGCAUCAUGUGCGCUAAACAUAACCCUCAAUGAAAUAUUCAACAAGAACAUUCCUUAACGCAGAAUAUCCAUUUCAAUAUUUACAUAUGGAUUUUUGUGAAUUAACUACAGUAGAUAAAAGGUAAAAAGCAGUGUUUGAUAAUUAACCUUUUUCCAAAUGGGUAGAGGUGUUCCCCAUAACCACGAAUGAUGCACUAGCUGUAUAUAUAAAUACUAGAACGAAACAUAAUACCUCUCUUUAGAAUACCAGAAAGAAUUUAUAGUGAUGACGGACCACACAGAUCUUUCCUACCUGCUACUAUUAGACUAUAUAACCAGAACUGUUAACUACCUCUCGCUACAUUAACUCACCCACUGCAUUAAAGUGUCGAAGGUGUUAAAGGCAGGUGCAGGUUGGUGACUGGGUGUUCGUCAGAGUCAUAAAAUGCAAGAAUUGGACCUCACCCCGAUGGGAAGCCCACACAGAGUGACAUUGGCAACACCUACAGCCUGCAAAGUCCAAGGCCUCUCUAGGUGGAUACACAACACACACACUGUAAAAGACAACAGGUACAGGCAACUGAGUAGUAUUGUCCAUGAGAAGAUACCCAACUGAGGGAGGGGAAAAGUCUGCCUACAAAGGGGGUCAGCAGCGUUUAGAGCACUGGUCGUCUCAACGGCAGUGAAGAAACCAGCGGUACCCUCUCUCACUUAAGGGGACAUUCUCAGGAGAUACUAUGAGGGGACACUGUCCAGCCACGGUAGUUGUACUAACUGCCCUUGUACUGUUGAUUGAUGCUAAGCCACUCCCUAACCUCAUCGAGGUAUCCAUGAACAGUUUAUUUUGAAGAAGCAAACAAAAAAACACUCCUUAAAAACUAAACAAAAUGCACCAGGAGGCACAACAUAGCGGGGCUAAGGCUUGGCAACCUGGGUCUGAACAAACCGACAUGGUAACACUGGCAUCAUGGCAUGGACACAAGGCUAAUACAUGGCGUGAAUGCGAGGCUAAUACAUGGGGUGAAUGCGAGGCUAAUACAUGGCAUGGACAAACAAAACUAAAACUACACAUGAACAACAGAACUAGAGCAUGGCAACCAACCUGACAUGACCAGCAUGGUGCGAUGAGGUGAUACAGUGACAAGGCAGUAGUGAGACGAUGACACAGCACAGAGUGCUGUGCUGCAGGAGUCUUUAAAGGGAGGCAGAGGGAAAGUGCAGGUGUGGCGAGUUGGGCUGAUUGCUAGGAGUCUACAGAGGGAAUAAGAGGUAGUGGGCAUGGUCCAAAGUCGAGGCGUGGCAUGGUGAGGGAGAAGGUGUGGUCCAGGGUAACUUCUCCACAGACAUCUUAUUUGAUGUUCCUUUUCCUCCUCAGUUCAAGGGACACUGUUUCCAGAGCAGUAGCUUUCCCCUUUUUUAAGGAAGGAAUUCGCCAACUCAGUAGAGGAAGUUACCCUGGAACACUGCCACAUUGUGAAGGUGCCUUGCACUCCCAGUGCCACCCAUUUCAACACUUCUGAGGCACCAAAGGGAGUUCAGUGUGUCUCUUAUUAUGAUGGUCCUGAUUUAAUGGGAACCCUCCCACAGUCUGUUAUCAACUAUGUCUGUGGACACACAAUCUAUGUGCAUCUUCCAUCCGAUUGGGUAGGCUGUUGUGUUCCUGUUUAUGUUUCAGAUGGUUCUUACGUGAUAACACCACAGCAGACGACUUCCAAGCGAGAGAUCGACCUGAAGAAAAAGUGAUCUGGGGAUCAGACGUUCCCAUGGACAAAAAGCUCUGGACUACAGGCCAGAAAGUGGCACUAUCACUAUUUACAAGGUUGGGGGUAGGAAAAAUCAUGCUAAGAGUUGAAACCAUAAAUUAUUGCAUGACCCAACAGGCAAUCAGUGACCUACAGCACAUAUCCAAUGUGCAGGUGGCUGACGUAGUGUAAGAUGAAUCCUGGUUUGAUUGGUUUAGGUCUGGCACAUGGAGUGACAUUCUGAUGAAGAUUUUUGGACCGGUUCUACUGAUUGUGUUGUGCGUAAUUCCCUGUUUGGGGGCCACGAUCAUCAGGCUGGUGAAUCAAGGCCUUCUCAGGGUGUGCACAGUCAUGCACUCUCGACAAAUACACUAUACACCUUUGAAGCUUAAUAACUGUGAAGAGAACCUCCACGAUGUUGACGGAAAUGGACGCUAAACUGUACAUAUUGUGCUUCUGUGCUUUUGACCCUGCCUACGAUGUUGUAACAUUUAUCCAUGUUUUAUGACGGCUGUUUUAUGAUGCUUCAAAGGAGGGAAAUGUUGAAGAAAUACUGUAUUUAAUCAUUGAAACAAUGUUUCCUCCCUUCUCCUCUGCAAGAAAUAGGGAGUACCGGUGUGUAGCAUCCUUAUCUGAUAUGCCCAAAGCCUGCUUUGUGCAGAAGAUAUUUCUCACGUGCGACUAUGCACCUCCCAGAAUGGAAUACAUAUUAUGAGCUGAAUCCUUGUUUCUCUUCAGUGGAAGGAAGUUGCCUUUGCUGUAAAUUGCUCACUCCUUGCACGUAAAAUCCUGAGGUCUCAACUGAUUGUCUGUUUUAUUAAAGAUUUAUAAAGAAAACUAACAAUUUCCCUAACAGUGUGCGCAGUUAAACAUGUUCUGCGAGUUAAGUUAAUUUAAAAAGUGUUUCCAUAAACCAUUUUUCUUGUUGUUUUACACUUUGGCGCCAGUGCAGUCACAAGCCAGGUGUCACAAAUUAAAGCCUCCACCCUCACCUCGGCUUUCACUGUGUCCACUGUCCGCACGGUGCUGGAUCUUAACUCCCCCCUUGGCCACUGAAACACACAGGCCAGAUGGCAACAGCCCAGUCAGGGGGAAACAGAGACUGGUGCAAUUGCAAUACAUACUUCCAGAAAAGGAAACAUAACUUGGACUGCCAUACCCCGUGUGACCAUGAGGGGCACCCAGGGACACACAGUCACACACUUUUGGUCGGGUAGUGGGGACUUCUGAUAAAUUUGCAGGGGCAGUGUCAAAUACUUUCUUGGAGCUGUUGGUGAGAUUGUGCCAGUGGGGAUCUAAUUUAAGGCCCCACGUGUAAUUGUGUAAUCAUGUUAAAGUCCUCAUGUGGUCAGAAAAACAAGUGCGCGCACACACACACACACACAUAUAUGAUAUAUAUAUUACUACAUUUACGCAUGUAUUUCUUAGAGUGUAGCCACAGAACGGCUGCAGGGUGUGAAUGCAGUGGUUGAGAGACAUAGAGAGAUGACAGUGGUUUCUGAGGAUCAGGAGGAGCAGCUGCCCACCCAGCGAGGCAUUGUGUAGAAAAGCUACUUAUGAAUGGACUGUAACAGUGAAACUGUCUAUCACAAAAACUGUAAACUGUCACUGUAAUUGCAGUAUAUUGUUAAGAAAUGAAGUUAUCUACAGGUAUAGUGGUACACAAUAUAAAGUAGUUUGCUUUCUUUCGUUUGAGACCUACAAUGCUGCCACUGGAUGUAAAUGACUAAACCUGUGUUAAAAUGUAGCUCAUUAGCGUCACCUUAACGUCACUAUCUUAACAAUUCAAUAACAAUUCUCUUAUCUACAAUAUUAAACUACUACUGUGCCAGUAACAGGCUGGACAACAAGUUCUUGUUUAGAAGGUUAAUUGAAUAAACAUAACAGUAGAUAAAUGGUAAGGUGUUGCACAGUAUACUUCUUUCUCCAGCUUAUUGGGAGGACAAAGACUUCAAUCUAGGGAAAACAGAAUGUGUUAUUUCCAGGAACCACCUUGUGUUGAUUGUAUCAGUACCUAAACAAUUUACAAAGUCAGAACCAAACUAGAUGUUUAAAUCAGUCAGAUCUGAACACAAAGAGAUCAGAGACAAGUAUUGAAACAAAGAACAGGUGAAUAUCAAUUCAUCUAAUCUUAUGACAUAAUACAUGCGUUAAUUCACUCUUCAUAUGACCUUAAACCUUCUCAUUCCCUCCCUCUGAACUCAGUAAAUAAGAUAAAGUCAUAAUAAAUUCAUAUAGCAUCAGCUGGCUGUGCAGUUAUCUCCUUCGCUACACACUGAUGAAUGGCGCCACCACAGAACAAGCGCAACUUAAACGGUGCAGACUCUAAAUGCAACAGCAGCAUUAAAAUAUGAUGACAUGGUUCUUAGUGGUUGUCACUGUUACCUCAGAGCCAGAAGAAGCCCAGGAGCCUCUGGAGUUUACAUGUUCUCCCGUGUCUUCAUGGGUUUUCUCCCACAGCCAGGUUGAUUGGAGCUGCUGCAGAUAUUCACAUUGGAACAAAACUCUAUGCUUCCUUUGUUUAUUUUAAAAAGACAAAAUUGAAAAUUAGUUUAAAAAACCCUCAAAUGGAUUUCUAUAAGCAAAAACAUCAAACAAUUUUUAAAAAUUCCAUCCAAUUAAUCGGAUUAAUCAAAAAUAAUCGACAAAUUAAUCAAUUGUCUAAAUAAUCGUUAGUUGCAACCCUAAUUCCUCCUCUCCGCCUCUUCCUCCUGUCCUCGUCUCCUGUUCUCUUGAGCUCCUCCUCCCUAUGAACCUGAACCUUCGUCCCAUACUCGUCUUGCCUCUUCCUCCCUCUAAAUGUAAAUGUGAAGAAAUAUGAUUCAUUUUUACAUAAGUUCAACAUUCAUACAUUCAUUCCUACUCCUCUACUUCCCUUGAAAUCAAGUAUUAGACUAAGAAAACCACAAGAGCAGAUGACUGAAUAUUACAAUGCAUCUGUAAAAAAAAUGAUAUUUACAUUGAAGAGAAGAUAAUUCUUGCUUGUUUUGGCCUCCAACCCCCCUACUCCUCAUUCUCCUCCUGUUUACGUUUCCUGUUUUCCACAUCUUCUCCCUAUGAAUAUAAAUAUUAUAAAAAUUAAGUAUCAGAUUCACAGAAAGACAUGAGCAGGCGACUGAAGGUUAUGUGUAUGAUAUCUGAUAUCUGAUAAAUGGAUAUUUAGAAGGUUGGCCUCCAAACUCCUCUCUUUCUCCUCGCCACCUCCUUCUAAAGCUAUAAUUGAUAAAGAAAGGUGAUUAAGAUUAUAUAUUUAAUGAUUUGUCUAUCAAAUCAGAAAAUCAUUCUUGUUUUUUUAAACCAGAAAAAAUAUGCUUGCUUUUUUUAUUAAUUUGUCCAAAGAGCAUUAUGUAGAAAAUGUACCUAUAAAUUAUUCUGCUUUCUCAUUUUUCUAUUACAUACUAUUGUCAACCAAUCAGUUGACAUAAUGGUCAGUACAUCAGCCACUGCUCCCUGUGGUGUGGUGCAGGAUUAGGAUGGCAGACAGCCAUGUGCACCCUCCAUAACACAUGAUGCUGCAGUCCUCUCCUCUGCCACUGAGGAGCUUCACUGGGAAGACAUGAGGCCAUGUGCCCCCAGUUCCAGUGGAACUGGACCCACCAUCGCUGUGGAGAAAAUUAUUGUUACAGUAGGAUACAGAAGCUGCCCUGCCAGGCGCUGAACUCAGCCUUUAGGGUGAAAGGUCAAUCCAACCACCAUGCUGAAAUUUAAAAACAGACGCAAAGGCUAGUUCUCCUGAUUAAAUUGUACAGGUAAACUUGUGAUAAAGAAAUAAAAAAGAAAGAAAGGCCCCAGCCAGAUGCAAAAACAGUAGGAACAGUUUGUCCUACUGUCUUUGCAUCUGACUGGGGAGAAACUGGUCCUACUGGUUAGAAACAGAGGCCAGAGGAUGAAAAAGCUGCUGCUCCAUCCAAGCAGGCGCCCUGGGUCAAAUACUAGACCCGUUUUACCGUGAGUCACAGUUUCUCACAGUAAUACGGCGCCUCCUGGGAACAGCCCCCUCCUCAUCCCUGUCCUCCCUACCUCUCCUGGAGGAAGAGCAGAAGCCUCGUCAUCCCCAUCAUAUGCUGCAGUAAUGCUUUCCUCAAUGUCCACCUCAGAGCCUGAGUCCUGGAACACAGGAGACAGGACAUGGGCAGCUUCGGUAGUGGAGGCGCAUGGCGGCUCAUAAGGAGACACAAAGGGUUGAACCAGAGGGGAAGGAGGCUCUGCUGCUGCUAUUGUGCAACAGCGC